This 495-nucleotide ribosomal RNA is filed under the name uncultured bacterium. RNAcentral's name for it is "bacterial SSU rRNA". It matches the Rfam family "Bacterial small subunit ribosomal RNA", at positions 903 to 1397 of the family's 1533-position model. The record is from RNAcentral.
AAAUGAAUAGACGGGGGCCCGCACAAGCGGUGGAUUAUGUGGUUUAAUUCGAAGCAACGCGCAGAACCUUACCUAGGCUUGAAAUCCUACGAACCUGACGUAAUGGUCGGGGUGCCCGCAAGGGAAUGUAGAGACAGGUGCUGCAUGGCUGUCGUCAGCUCGUGUUGUGAAAUGUUGGGUUAAGUCUCGCAACGAGCGCAACCCCUAUCUUUAGUUGCCAGCAUUAAGUUGGGCACUCUAGAGAGACUGCCCGGGUUAACCGGGAGGAAGGUGGGGAUGACGUCAAGUCCUCAUGGCCCUUAUGCCUAGGGCUACACACGUAAUACAAUGGCGUAUACAGAGGGAAGCGACCUGGUGACAGUGAGCAAAUCUCAAAAAGUACGUCUCAGUCCGGAUUGGAGUCUGUAACUCGACUCCAUGAAGUUGGAAUCGCUAGUAAUCGUGGAUCAGCACGCCACGGUGAAUACGUUCCCGGGCCUUGUACACACCGCCCGU